This 73-nucleotide transfer RNA is filed under the name Felis catus (domestic cat). It matches the Rfam family "tRNA". Rfam says of the family: Transfer RNA (tRNA) molecules are approximately 80 nucleotides in length. Their secondary structure includes four short double-helical elements and three loops (D, anti-codon, and T loops). Further hydrogen bonds mediate the characteristic L-shaped molecular structure. tRNAs have two regions of fundamental functional importance: the anti-codon, which is responsible for specific mRNA codon recognition, and the 3' end, to which the tRNAs corresponding amino acid is attached (by aminoacyl-tRNA synthetases). tRNAs cope with the degeneracy of the genetic code in two manners: having more than one tRNA (with a specific anti-codon) for a particular amino acid; and 'wobble' base-pairing, i.e. permitting non-standard base-pairing at the 3rd anti-codon position. Lineage: Eukaryota; Metazoa; Chordata; Mammalia; Carnivora; Felidae. The record is from Rfam by way of RNAcentral. RNAcentral also lists the same sequence under 1 other name.
GCCUGGUUGGUUCAGCAGGUAGAGCAUGCAACUCUCAAUCUCAAGGUCAUGAGUUCAAGCCCCAUAUUGGACA